Molecule: ribosomal RNA, 521 nt
Filed under: uncultured Geobacillus sp.
Lineage: Bacteria; Bacillati; Bacillota; Bacilli; Caryophanales; Anoxybacillaceae
Description: partial 16S ribosomal RNA
Source: RNAcentral
CACGUAGUUAGCCGGGGCUUUCUCGUGAGGUACCGUCACCGCGCCGCCCUCUUCGAACGGCGCUCCUCCGUCCCUCACAACAGAGCUUUACGACCCGAAGGCCUUCUUCGCUCACGCGGCGUCGCUCCGUCAGGCUUUCGCCCAUUGCGGAAGAUUCCCUACUGCUGCCUCCCGUAGGAGUCUGGGCCGUGUCUCAGUCCCAGUGUGGCCGGUCACCCUCUCAGGCCGGCUACGCAUCGUCGCCUUGGUGAGCCGUUACCUCACCAACUAGCUAAUGCGCCGCGGGCCCAUCCGCAAGUGACAGCCCAAAGGCCGCCUUUCAACCGAAGACCAUGCGGUCUUCGGUGUUAUCCGGUAUUAGCUCCGGUUUCCCGGAGUUAUCCCGGUCUUGCGGGCAGGUUGCCCACGUGUUACUCACCCGUCCGCCGCUGACCGAAUCAAGGCAAGCCCCAAUCCGGUCCGCUCGACUUGCAUGUAUUAGGCACGCCGCCAGCGUUCGUCCUGAGCCAGGAUCAAACUCU